CCAACUGCUUUUAUUGUAGUCUACCUUCACAACAUCUUGAAGAACCACACGGCUCAUGCUUGUGAAGGAGACACGCUCAUCAUCAAGUGUCCCUCCAGGACAUCUGUGGCCGUCCUCUCGGCUUUCUAUGGACGACGUGUACCUAAUCUGCAUUUGUGUCCCUCUGCAAACACAAACACAACUGCAGAGGAGGAUAACGAAUGCACUUCCCCAGUCGCUACCGAGAAAGUGCUGUCAGAGUGUCAGGAUCGGCGGUCCUGUCACAUCCCUGUCUUCAGUCCAGUGUUUGGGCAGGACCCCUGUCCUCUCACCAGCAAGUACCUUCUAGUCUCCUACAAGUGCAGACCAGAGCACCACCGCAGCAGGCUGGUGUGUGAGAAUGAGCGUCUGAGGCUGACUUGUAAAAACGACACCGUCCUCGCCAUCUACUCAGCCUCGUUCGGACACCUGCUGCACGGCAGUCCUCACUGUCCUCAGGAACCUGGAUCACACAAUGACAUGGGUCUGAAACCUGCUCCUUCUCUGCUAGUGAAAAUAUAGUGGAACAAAUAUCAGUUCUAGGCAUAAGUGGGGAGUAAUUAGUGGGUCCUAUUAUUUUAGUUUGGUUUAGUUUAGUUAUAUCAAGGAUGAUGUGUACAUAAAUACAAUAGUCUUAAACAUUAAAAGAGAUGAUUCGUAGAGAUGGCAAAUUUAGAAAUCAUUUGUAAAACAAACUACUACUGUUACAAAUG
This is a long non-coding RNA of Notothenia coriiceps (black rockcod), 731 nucleotides long. RefSeq lists it as uncharacterized. The transcript has 3 exons. The record is from RefSeq and is a predicted model, not a curated record. Lineage: Eukaryota; Metazoa; Chordata; Actinopteri; Perciformes; Nototheniidae.